Molecule: ribosomal RNA, 498 nt
Filed under: uncultured bacterium
Lineage: Bacteria
Description: partial 16S ribosomal RNA
Rfam family: Bacterial small subunit ribosomal RNA
Source: RNAcentral
GGACGAACGCUGGCGGCGUGCCUACUACAUGCAAGUUGAGCGAUGAAGAUUGGUGCUUGCACCAAUUUGAAGAGCAGCGAACGGGUGAGUAACGCGUGGGGAAUCUGCCUUUGAGCGGGGGACAACAUUUGGAAACGAAUGCUAAUACCGCAUAACAACUUUAAACAUAAGUUUUAAGUUUGAAAGAUGCAAUUGCAUCACUCAAAGAUGAUCCCGCGUUGUAUUAGCUAGUUGGUGAGGUAAAGGCUCACCAAGGCGAUGAUACAUAGCCGACCUGAGAGGGUGAGCGGCCACAUUGGGACUGAGACACGGCCCAAACUCCUACGGGAGGCAGCAGUAGGGAAUCUUCGGCAAUGGACGAAAGUCUGACCGAGCAACGCCGCGUGAGUGAAGAAGGUUUUCGGAUCGUAAAACUCUGUUGGUAGAGAAGAACGUUGGUGAGAGUGGAAAGCUCAUCAAGUGACGGUAACUACCCAGAAAGGGACGGCUAACUACGUG